Molecule: ribosomal RNA, 492 nt
Filed under: uncultured bacterium
Lineage: Bacteria
Description: partial 16S ribosomal RNA
Rfam family: Bacterial small subunit ribosomal RNA
Source: RNAcentral
AGUGAACGCUGGCGGUAGGCCUAACACAUGCAAGUCGAACGGCAGCACAGUAAGAGCUUGCUCUUACGGGUGGCGAGUGGCGGACGGGUGAGGAAUACAUCGGAAUCUACUUUUUCGUGGGGGAUAACGUAGGGAAACUUACGCUAAUACCGCAUACGUCCUACGGGUGAAAGCAGGGGAUCUUCGGACCUUGCGCGAUUGAAUGAGCCGAUGUCGGAUUAGCUAGUUGGCGGGGUAAAGGCCCACCAAGGCGACGAUCCGUAGCUGGUCUGAGAGGAUGAUCAGCCACACUGGAACUGAGACACGGUCCAGACUCCUACGGGAGGCAGCAGUGGGGAAUAUUGGACAAUGGGCGCAAGCCUGAUCCAGCCAUACCGCGUGGGUGAAGAAGGCCUUCGGGUUGUAAAGCCCUUUUGUUGGGAAAGAAAAGCAGCAGGUUAAUACGCCGCUGUUCUGACGGUACCCAAAGAAUAAGCACCGGCUAACUUCGUG